RNAcentral lists this ribosomal RNA (557 nucleotides) under uncultured Glaciimonas sp. RNAcentral describes it as "bacterial SSU rRNA". It matches the Rfam family "Bacterial small subunit ribosomal RNA", at positions 510 to 1064 of the family's 1533-position model. Lineage: Bacteria; Pseudomonadati; Pseudomonadota; Betaproteobacteria; Burkholderiales; Oxalobacteraceae. The record is from RNAcentral.
AGCAGCCGCGGUAAUACGUAGGGUGCAAGCGUUAAUCGGAAUUACUGGGCGUAAAGCGUGCGCAGGCGGUUUUUUAAGACAGGUGUGAAAAUCCCCGGGCUUAACCUGGGAAUGGCAUUUGUGACUGGAAGGCUAGAGUGUGUCAGAGGGGGGUAGAAUUCCACGUGUAGCAGUGAAAUGCGUAGAGAUGUGGAGGAAUACCGAUGGCGAAGGCAGCCCCCUGGGAUAACACUGACGCUCAUGCACGAAAGCGUGGGGAGCAAACAGGAUUAGAUACCCUGGUAGUCCACGCCCUAAACGAUGUCUACUAGUUGUCGGGUCUUAAUUGACUUGGUAACGCAGCUAACGCGUGAAGUAGACCGCCUGGGGAGUACGGUCGCAAGAUUAAAACUCAAAGGAAUUGACGGGGACCCGCACAAGCGGUGGAUGAUGUGGAUUAAUUCGAUGCAACGCGAAAAACCUUACCUACCCUUGACAUGGCUGGAAUCCUUGAGAGAUCAGGGAGUGCUUGAAAGAGAACCAGUACACAGGUGCUGCAUGGCUGUCGUCAGCUCGUG